This is a long non-coding RNA of Quercus lobata, 621 nucleotides long. RefSeq lists it as uncharacterized. NCBI's taxonomy places the organism in Eukaryota, Viridiplantae, Streptophyta, Magnoliopsida, Fagales, Fagaceae. The record is from RefSeq and is a predicted model, not a curated record. The transcript is spliced from 3 exons.
GAAAAAACCCUACUCUGUCCACCUCCCUCAGCUCUCUCUUUAUUCCUCAAACCUCAUCCCCAUUCGCUCAGUUUAAAGCUUUGUCUCUGUGUUUUGUGAUGUGGGAACUGAUAAGAGCUAUUCUCUUCUACCUCUCUCAAUGAGUUCUCUCUAUGUAUGUAACAGUGCAGAUUUUGACAACAGUGGUACCAUAGACUAUGGAGAGUUUGUAGCAGCUAUGCUCCAUCUAAACAAGAUCCAGAGGGAGGAUCAUUUUUUUGCAGCCUUCUCUUACUUUGACAAAGAUGGGAGUGGAUACAUCACUGCAGAUGAACUACAACAGGCCUGUGAGCAGUUUGGCUUAGAAGAUGUUUAGCUAGAAGAUAUAAUGCGUGAAAUUGACCAGGAUAAUGUACACCAACUCAGACUGAUCCAUGGAUUGAUCUUUCCCAUUUUGUCAUUUUGGCCUCGUUUUUGUUAUCUAAAAAUUUCUUUGUUUGUGUUUGUGGGUUGGCCCUUUUUGUGUUAUUUGGUUUAAGGCUCUCUCUUUUUUGUUGAAGUAUCUGAAUUUUAGCUGGUUGAAUUGUUAUUUGGAUUAUAAUUUGUUUUGUUGAUUGGUAUUAUUUUGGUUGGUUCUAUUUA